AGGGUUUGAUCAUGGCUCAGAACGUACGCUGGCGGCACGCCUAACACAUGCAAGUCGAACGAAGUAGCAAUACUUAGUGGCAGACGGGUGAGUAACAUGUAGGUAUCUACCCUUUGGCCUGGAAUAACACGAGGAAACUUGUGCUAAUACCGGAUAAGUCUUUACGGAGAAAGCUUUAUGCACCAUUGGAUGAGCCUGCACUUGAUUAGUUUGUUGGUAGGGUAAUGGCCUACCAAGACUUUGAUCAAUAGCUGAUUUGAGAGGAUGAUCAGCCACAUUGGGACUGAGACACGGCCCAAACUCCUACGGGAGGCAGCAGUGGGGAAUCUUGCACAAUGGAGGAAACUCUGAUGCAGCGAUGCCGCGUGAGUGAAGAAGGCCUUUGGGUUGUAAAGCUCUUUCGUCGGGGAAGAAAAUGACUGUACCCGAAUAAGAAGGUCCGGCUAACUUCGUGCCAGCAGCCGCGGUAAUACGAAGGGACCUAGCGUAGUUCGGAAUUACUGGGCUUAAAGAGUUCGUAGGUGGUUGAAAAAGUUGGUGGUGAAAUCCCAGAGCUUAACUCUGGAACUGCCAUCAAAACUUUUCAGCUAGAGUUUGAUAGAGGAAAGCAGAAUUUCUAGUGUAGAGGUGAAAUUCGUAGAUAUUAGAAAGAAUACCAAUUGCGAAGGCAGCUUUCUGGAUCAUUACUGACACUGAGGAACGAAAGCAUGGGUAGCGAAGAGGAUUAGAUACCCUCGUAGUCCAUGCCGUAAACGAUGUGUGUUAGACGUUGGAAAUUUAUUUUUCAGUGUCGCAGCGAAAGCGAUAAACACACCGCCUGGGGAGUACGACCGCAAGGUUAAAACUCAAUGAAUUGACGGGGACCCGCACAAGUAGUGGAGCAUGUGGUUUAAUUCGAAGAUACGCGCAGAACCUUACCAACACUUGACAUGUUCGUCGCGACUUUAAGAGAUUAAAGUUUUCGGUUCGGCCGGACGAAACACAGGUGCUGCAUGGCUGUCGUCAGCUCGUGUCGUGAGAUGUUGGGUUAAGUCCCGCAACGAGCGCAACCCUCACUUUUAGUUGCCAUCAUUAAGUUGGGCACUCUGAAAGAACUGCCAGUGAUAAGCUGGAGGAAGGUGGGGAUGACGUCAAGUCCUCAUGGCCCUUACGUGUUGGGCUACACACGUGCUACAAUGGUAUUUACAAAAGGAAGCAAAACGGCGACGUUUAGCAAAUCCUAAAAAAAUACCUCAGUUCGGAUUGCACUCUGCAACUCGAGUGCAUGAAGCUGGAAUUACUAGUAAUCGUGGAUCAGCGUGCCACGGUGAAUGCGUUCCCGGGUCUUGUACACACCGCCCGUCACACCAUGGGAGUUGGUUCUACCUUAAGGCAAGGUUUAAAACCCUUGACCACGGUAUAGUCAGCGACUGGGGUGAAGUCGUAACAAGGUAGCCGUA
This 1439-nucleotide ribosomal RNA is filed under the name uncultured bacterium. RNAcentral's name for it is "bacterial SSU rRNA". It matches the Rfam family "Bacterial small subunit ribosomal RNA". The record is from RNAcentral.